GAUGAACGCUGGCGGCGUGCCUAAUACAUGCAAGUCGAGCGAAUGGAUUAAGAGCUUGCUCUUAUGAAGUUAGCGGCGGACGGGCGAGUAACACGUGGGUAACCUGCCCAUAAGACUGGGAUAACUCCGGGAAACCGGGGCUAAUACCGGAUAACAUUUUGAACCGCAUGGUUCGAAAUUGAAAGGCGGCUUCGGCUGUCACUUAUGGAUGGACCCGCGACGCAUUAGCUAGUUGGUGAGGUAACGGCUCACCAAGGCAACGAUGCGUAGCCGACCUGAGAGGGUGAUCGGCCACACUGGGACUGAGACACGGCCCAGACUCCUACGGGAGGCAGCAGUAGGGAAUCUUCCGCAAUGGACGAAAGUCUGACGGAGCAACGCCGCGUGGGUGAUGAAGGCUUUCGGGUCGUAAAACUCUGUUGUUAGGGAAGAACAAGUGCUAGUUGAAUAAGCCGGCACCUUGACGGUACCUAACCAGAAAGCCACGGCUAACUACGUGCCAGCCGCCGCCGUAA
RNAcentral lists this ribosomal RNA (515 nucleotides) under uncultured bacterium. RNAcentral's name for it is "partial 16S ribosomal RNA". It matches the Rfam family "Bacterial small subunit ribosomal RNA", at positions 28 to 523 of the family's 1533-position model. The record is from RNAcentral.